Molecule: small nucleolar RNA, 137 nt
Organism: Tupaia belangeri (northern tree shrew)
Lineage: Eukaryota; Metazoa; Chordata; Mammalia; Scandentia; Tupaiidae
Source: Ensembl
UAUCCCUGGUGGGGUAGAGCAGCACCACGUGGUUGGUGGUGUUCCCCUCAUAUCAGCCAGCAACAGCAUAACCCCUUGUUUAUCCCAGCUUGACUCUUGGUCUGUUCUCAUGCCUGGUUCAUGCCUUGGACACAAGG